GGUCAAGCUACAAAGGGCUCACGGCGGAUACCUUGGCACACAGAGGCGAUGAAGGACGUGGUUACCUGCGAUAAGUCUCGGGGAGCUGGAAACACGCUUUGAUCCGGGAAUUUCCGAAUGGGGCAACCCCUAGUACGGCCAGCUGAAUCCAUAGGCUGGCACGAGCCAACCCAGCGAACUG
Molecule: ribosomal RNA, 181 nt
Filed under: Synechococcus sp. UW119
Lineage: Bacteria; Bacillati; Cyanobacteriota; Cyanophyceae; Synechococcales; Synechococcaceae
Also listed under: 1 other name
Description: partial 23S ribosomal RNA
Rfam family: Bacterial large subunit ribosomal RNA
Source: RNAcentral